RNAcentral lists this ribosomal RNA (282 nucleotides) under uncultured prokaryote. RNAcentral describes it as "partial 16S ribosomal RNA". It matches the Rfam family "Bacterial small subunit ribosomal RNA", at positions 524 to 817 of the family's 1533-position model. The record is from RNAcentral.
UACGUAGGGGCUAGCGUUAUCCGGAAUUACUGGGCGUAAAGGGUGCGUAGGUGGUUUCUUAAGUCAGAGGUGAAAGGCUACGGCUCAACCGUAGUAAGCCUUUGAAACUGGGGAACUUGAGUACAGGAGAGGAGGGUGGAAUUCCUAGUGUAGCGGUGAAAUGCGUAGAUAUUAGGAGGAACACCAGUUGCGAAGGCGGCUCUCUGGACUGUAACUGACACUGAGGCACGAAAGCGUGGGGAGCAAACAGGAUUAGAUACCCUGGUAGUCCCUGAGCGGGCU